This 324-nucleotide ribosomal RNA is filed under the name Triticum aestivum (bread wheat). Its description in RNAcentral is "partial small subunit ribosomal RNA". Lineage: Eukaryota; Viridiplantae; Streptophyta; Magnoliopsida; Poales; Poaceae. The record is from RNAcentral.
AUGGGGUCCCUCACAGGUUCUUGGAUGAUGAACUUGUGUGGGGGUCCAAUAUGCUCCAACCAAGAUGUGCUUUCAUGUGCCUUCAAGGAAGUCUUCGACUCUUCCACUUGCACGAAUCAUCUGGUGGCGACUAGCAUCGCCUUGCUGCUUGUCCUCGCGCUCGCGCUCCAGCUGCUUAUCAAAAUCCCGAAGAGUAGAGCGUCUGCUCAAGGGCUCGUCGCACUCGGCUCACCACUGCAGUUGGCUGCAGUGGUCUUCAGUGGCUGUUUGGGGUUGGCUUAUCUUGGCCUAGGACUGUCGAUGGAUUCUGAUUUCAGAGCUUAG